Molecule: ribosomal RNA, 320 nt
Filed under: uncultured Desulfocapsa sp.
Lineage: Bacteria; Pseudomonadati; Thermodesulfobacteriota; Desulfobulbia; Desulfobulbales; Desulfocapsaceae
Description: bacterial SSU rRNA
Rfam family: Bacterial small subunit ribosomal RNA
Source: RNAcentral
UCGUGUCGUGAGAUGUUGGGUUAAGUCCCGCAACGAGCGCAACCCUAUCUUUAGUUGCCAUCAUUGAGUUGGGCACUCUAAAGAGACUGCCGGUGUCAAACCGGAGGAAGGUGGGGAUGACGUCAAGUCCUCAUGGCCUUUAUGACCAGGGCUACACACGUACUACAAUGGCCGGUACAAAGGGCAGCGACACAGCGAUGCGAAGCCAAUCCCGAAAAGCCGGUCUCAGUCCGGAUUGGAGUCUGCAACUCGACUCCAUGAAGUUGGAAUCGCUAGUAAUCGCGGAUCAGCACGCCGCGGUGAAUACGUUCCCGGGCCUU